AGUGAACGCUGGCGGUAGGCCUAACACAUGCCAGUCGAACGGCAGCACAGUAAGAGCUUGCUCUUACGGGUGGCGAGUGGCGGACGGGUGAGGAAUACAUCGGAAUCUACUUUUUCGUGGGGGAUAACGUAGGGAAACUUACGCUAAUACCGCAUACGACCUACGGGUGAAAGCAGGGGAUCUUCGGACCUUGCGCGAUUGAAUGAGCCGAUGUCGGAUUAGCUAGUUGGCGGGGUAAAGGCCCACCAAGGCGACGAUUCGUAGCUGGUCUGAGAGGAUGAUCAGCCACACUGGAACUGAGACACGGUCCAGACUCCUACGGGAGGCAGCAGUGGGGAAUAUUGGACAAUGGGCGCAAGCCUGAUCCAGCCAUACCGCGUGGGUGAAGAAGGCCUUCGGGUUGUAAAGCCCUUUUGUUGGGAAAGAAAAGCAGCAGGUUAAUACCCCGCUGUUCUGACGGUACCCAAAGAAUAAGCACCGGCUAACUUCGUG
RNAcentral lists this ribosomal RNA (492 nucleotides) under uncultured bacterium. RNAcentral's name for it is "partial 16S ribosomal RNA". It matches the Rfam family "Bacterial small subunit ribosomal RNA", at positions 29 to 507 of the family's 1533-position model. The record is from RNAcentral.